UACGUAGGGUGCAAGCGUUGUCCGGAAUUAUUGGGCGUAAAGAGCUCGUAGGCGGUUUGUCGCGUCUGCUGUGAAAACCCGAGGCUCAACCUCGGGCCUGCAGUGGGUACGGGCAGACUAGAGUGCGGUAGGGGAGAUUGGAAUUCCUGGGUGUAGCGGUGGAAUGCGCAGAUAUCAGGAGGAACACCGGUGGCGAAGGCGGGUCUCUGGGCCGAUACUGACGCUGAGGAGCGAAAGCGUGGGGAGCGAACAGG
RNAcentral lists this ribosomal RNA (254 nucleotides) under uncultured bacterium. RNAcentral describes it as "partial 16S ribosomal RNA". It matches the Rfam family "Bacterial small subunit ribosomal RNA", at positions 524 to 776 of the family's 1533-position model. The record is from RNAcentral.